AUCUCGUUAGAUUCGUCUCGCAAA
This 24-nucleotide microRNA is filed under the name Oryza sativa (Asian cultivated rice). Its description in RNAcentral is "osa-miR11341-3p". The record is from miRBase by way of RNAcentral. Lineage: Eukaryota; Viridiplantae; Streptophyta; Magnoliopsida; Poales; Poaceae.